This 71-nucleotide transfer RNA is filed under the name Ictidomys tridecemlineatus (thirteen-lined ground squirrel). RNAcentral describes it as "Spermophilus tridecemlineatus (thirteen-lined ground squirrel) tRNA". It matches the Rfam family "tRNA". From Rfam's summary of the family: Transfer RNA (tRNA) molecules are approximately 80 nucleotides in length. Their secondary structure includes four short double-helical elements and three loops (D, anti-codon, and T loops). The record is from Rfam by way of RNAcentral. Lineage: Eukaryota; Metazoa; Chordata; Mammalia; Rodentia; Sciuridae.
GGGGUUGUGGCUCAGCGGUAGAGCACUCACUUCACACGUGUAAGGCCCUGGGUUUGAUUCUUAGCACCCCA